GGGAUAUUGUUGGUGGGGAGUGGAGCUAAUGCAGUCGAGCGAGCUUGCCUAGAUGAUUUUAGUGCUUGCACUAAAUGAAACUAGAUACAAGCGAGCGGCGGACGGGUGAGUAACACGUGGGUAACCUGCCCAAGAGACUGGGAUAACACCUGGAAACAGAUGCUAAUACCGGAUAACAACACUAGACGCAUGUCUAGAGUUUGAAAGAUGGUUCUGCUAUCACUCUUGGAUGGACCUGCGGUGCAUUAGCUAGUUGGUAAGGUAACGGCUUACCAAGGCAAUGAUGCAUAGCCGAGUUGAGAGACUGAUCGGCCACAUUGGGACUGAGACACGGCCCAAACUCCUACGGGAGGCAGCAGUAGGGAAUCUUCCACAAUGGACGAAAGUCUGAUGGAGCAACGCCGCGUGAGUGAAGAAGGGUUUCGGCUCGUAAAGCUCUGUUGGUAGUGAAGAAAGAUAGAGGUAGUAACUGGCCUUUAUUUGACGGUAAUUACUUAGAAAGUCACGGCUAACUACGUGCCAGCAGCCGCGGUAAUACGUAGGUGGCAAGCGUUGUCCGGAUUUAUUGGGCGUAAAGCGAGUGCAGGCGGUUCAAUAAGUCUGAUGUGAAAGCCUUCGGCUCAACCGGAGAAUUGCAUCAGAAACUGUUGAACUUGAGUGCAGAAGAGGAGAGUGGAACUCCAUGUGUAGCGGUGGAAUGCGUAGAUAUAUGGAAGAACACCANUGGCGAAGGCGGCUCUCUGGUCUGCA
RNAcentral lists this ribosomal RNA (750 nucleotides) under uncultured bacterium. Its description in RNAcentral is "bacterial SSU rRNA". It matches the Rfam family "Bacterial small subunit ribosomal RNA", at positions 26 to 738 of the family's 1533-position model. The record is from RNAcentral.